GAUGAACGCUGGCGGCGUGCUUAACACAUGCAAGUCGAGCGAUGAAGUUUCCUUCGGGAAACGGAUUAGCGGCGGACGGGUGAGUAACACGUGGGUAACCUGCCUCAUAGAGUGGAAUAGCCUUCCGAAAGGAAGAUUAAUACCGCAUAAUGUUGAAAGAUGGCAUCAUCAUCCAACCAAAGGAACAAUCCGCUAUGAGAUGGACCCGCGGCGCAUUAGCUAGUUGGUGGGGUAACGGCCUACCAAGGCGACGAUGCGUAGCCGACCUGAGAGGGUGAUCGGCCACAUUGGGACUGAGACACGGCCCAG
Molecule: ribosomal RNA, 309 nt
Filed under: uncultured bacterium
Lineage: Bacteria
Description: bacterial SSU rRNA
Rfam family: Bacterial small subunit ribosomal RNA
Source: RNAcentral